UGAGUGAUGAAGGUUUUCGGAUCGUAAAGCUCUGUUGUUAGGGAAGAACAAGUACCGUUCGAAUAGGGCGGUACCUUGACGGUNCCUAACCANAAAGCCACGGCUAACUACGUGCCAGCAGCCGCGGUAAUACNUAGGUGGCAAGCGUUGUCCGGAAUUAUUGGGCGUAAAGGGCUCGCAGGCGGUUCCUUAAGUCUGAUGUGAAAGCCCCCGGCUCAUCCGGGGAGGGUCAUUGGAAACUGGGGAACUUGAGUGCAG
This 258-nucleotide ribosomal RNA is filed under the name marine bacterium SIMO-4440. RNAcentral describes it as "partial 16S ribosomal RNA". It matches the Rfam family "Bacterial small subunit ribosomal RNA", at positions 402 to 651 of the family's 1533-position model. The record is from RNAcentral.